UGGUUCUGGCAUCGAUGAAGAACGCAGCGAAAUGCGAUAAGUAAUGUGAAUUGCAGAAUUCAGUGAAUCAUCGAAUCUUUGAACGCAUAUUGCGCCCUCUGGCAUUCCGGGGGGCAUGCCUGUCCGAGCGUCAUUGCAAAAUUCAAGCUCUGCUUGGUGUUGGGUGCCGUCCCUCGGGGCGCACCUGGAAAUUAGCGGCGGUGUGACCGGUGAUCAAGCGUAGUAGUUACUUCCGCUUAGAGACACUCCGGGCGUGCUAGCCGGGCAACCUCAUACUCCUUCCACGGUUGACCUCGGAUCAGGUAGGGAUACCCGCUGA
This 319-nucleotide unclassified non-coding RNA is filed under the name uncultured fungus. Its description in RNAcentral is "partial contains 5.8S ribosomal RNA and internal transcribed spacer 2". The stretch from base 1 to 133 matches the Rfam family "5.8S ribosomal RNA", at positions 22 to 154 of the family's 154-position model. The record is from RNAcentral. Lineage: Eukaryota; Fungi.